AUGGUCUUGAAUGGAAAGAACAAAACCAAACUAGAAUCACCACCCAAACAGGAGAGAAAUCAACAAGAGGGCAUCUGGCUAGGCCUGGCAUGUGGCUGCUGCUCAGAACAUUUAAAAAGCACCUUCAAAAGAAUGGCCUUGAUGGGAAGACAACUCAUUAUUCCAGAAGUUGAUAAGUGAAAGAAAAGAACCAAGCAUUUAACUGGCUUUUGCUACAUGAACUGUGUCAAGGUCCUAGUCUGAAUACCGUCACCUUGGGGUGGAGAUUUCAACAUGUGAAUUUGGAGGGGAUAGAAGCAUGCAAAUCAUAGCACUCUUUCAAUAGGUAAGAAAAGAAAAAAUGACCAAGGCACUUACAUGUUAAUGAUUGAUUUUUGUUCCCAAACACAUUGAAGUAGAAAAAUAACGAAUCCAACUGAGUGUAGUAGUUAGCAUUUUUAUGUGACUAUAAAUUGCAGUAGUGGGAGUUGGAUGACUCUGGCCUGGAACAUGAUGACUUGGCUACAGCAUCAAUUAUUUUCAUGAGGUGAAGAGCAAACAGAAGAGCAAGAGUUAAUUAUUCCACCUGGGAGCAGAAAGUUGUCAUGGCAUUUUGGAUAGAAAAGCACAGGACUAUCGUGGUGUGUGAGGGAUGGCAUGGAAAGGAUACAGCACUAAAAAGUAUAUUUUAUGGUAUUUGAGAAAUGCAGUGAGAAGACCUUGGAGUUAUUUUGAAAGUAUGCUUUGAUUGUUGGACAUUUUUCUUAAACCUGAAUUUUGCUGUAAGUUAGAUCACCUGGAUUAUGGCUCUAAUAGAGUUACAAAAAUAGUGCUACAAAUAUUCAUCUUUAAGGAUUUUUUACAUCUGCCUGUUCCCACCUUCAUAAUCUCCCUCCUAUUUUUUGUGGUAAUUCAUGUGUAUGUAAAUGUUCAUGUUUCAUAGGGUAACUGGAGUACAUGGCUACUGAGCAAAGAGAAUUGGAGGAGAUAAGCCCUAAAAUGCCCUCUAUUUGGGGGAGUUUCUCCUCCCUGAGUCCUCUUCCACAUGACAGCAUUUAUUUCAAACUCAGUAAUGUUAUUUUCAGAUAUAUAUGUGUAUAUAUAUAUACAUAGUAAUAGAUACUAGGAAGACAAAAUAAUGAAGACAAGCAUAAACAGACACAACAGCUAAUUGUCCAGUGGAGAAACUAAUAAA
This 1174-nucleotide long non-coding RNA is filed under the name Callithrix jacchus (white-tufted-ear marmoset). Its description in RNAcentral is "lncRNA (ENSCJAG00000055529.2)". The record is from RNAcentral. Lineage: Eukaryota; Metazoa; Chordata; Mammalia; Primates; Cebidae.